AUGAAAACGUUGAUGGAGAAAGUACAUUUGAGAAGCUUGCAAAAGAAAGAGGUUCCUUGGCUGAAAGAACCUUCAAGUGGAUGUUAUGGAAAGCUACUCCUGAGUGCAGCUAAUCACUGCCGUAAGCCGCGUUAAGGCAUAAUCGAGAGACAGCAAAUUCGUUUGCUGUAACUAGGGUGGUACCGCGAAUUGAAGCCUUCGUCCCUUUU
This 209-nucleotide non-coding RNA is filed under the name Paenisporosarcina sp. Its description in RNAcentral is "T-box sequence". It matches the Rfam family "T-box leader". From Rfam's summary of the family: Uncharged tRNA acts as the effector for transcription antitermination of genes in the T-box leader family. The record is from RNAcentral. Lineage: Bacteria; Bacillati; Bacillota; Bacilli; Caryophanales; Caryophanaceae.